RNAcentral lists this small RNA (168 nucleotides) under Sinorhizobium meliloti 2011. Its description in RNAcentral is "putative ncRNA". The record is from RNAcentral. Lineage: Bacteria; Pseudomonadati; Pseudomonadota; Alphaproteobacteria; Hyphomicrobiales; Rhizobiaceae.
CUUGAAUUCGGGCUGAUAGGCCGCCUUCUCCAGCACGGCCGGGUCAGGCGUCUUCACGCCGGCGAAGGCCUUGCGAUAGGUCGCCUGGCUGAUGCCGUUCUUGGCAGCCGUUGCAUAGAAGUUAUUGAUCCAGUUUUGAAAACCUUGAUCCGCACGCGCGGGCGACGA